Molecule: ribosomal RNA, 460 nt
Filed under: uncultured bacterium
Lineage: Bacteria
Description: partial 16S ribosomal RNA
Rfam family: Bacterial small subunit ribosomal RNA
Source: RNAcentral
CCUACGGGUGGCAGCAGUGAGGAAUAUUGGUCAAUGGGCGAGAGUCUGAACCAGCCAAGUAGCGUGAAGGAUGACUGCCCUAUGGGUUGUAAACUUCUUUUAUAUGGGACUAAACUGUUCCACGUGUGGGAUUUUGUAUGUACCAUAUGAAUAAGGAUCGGCUAACGCCGUGCCAGCAGCCGCGGUAAUACGGAGGAUCCGAGCGUUAUCCGGAUUUAUUGGGUUUAAAGGGUGCGUAGGUGGAUGGUUAAGUCAGUUGUGAAAGUUUGCGGCUCAACCGUAAAAUUGCAGUUGAAACUGGCAGUCUUGAGUACAGUAGAGGUGGGCGGAAUUCGUGGUGUAGCGGUGAAAUGCUUAGAUAUCACGAAGAACUCCGAUUGCGAAGGCAGUUCACUGGACUGCAACUGACACUGAGGCUCGAAAGUGUGGGUAUCAAACAGGAUUAGAUACCCCUGUAGUC